Molecule: long non-coding RNA, 1152 nt
Filed under: Ricinus communis (castor bean)
Lineage: Eukaryota; Viridiplantae; Streptophyta; Magnoliopsida; Malpighiales; Euphorbiaceae
Description: long non-coding RNA (RCOM_LNC003566)
Source: RNAcentral
AAAUGAAGAUAGUGAACAAAAUAAGAAAAUAAGGAAGUUAUAAUUAGCCAAAGAAUCAUCCUCAAACAAUGUAAUUCUUAGAGUUGAUAGCUUCAAACUCAUCAUCAGUUCUCCAAUUUAAACUCUAAACAGCCUUCAAUAUCCCUUGUGCCGACCCAAUCCUUGUGUACUUCGAGUUUAAUCUUCAAACAUGGACCAAAUUUAACAAGCAUCAAUUUCCAAUCCAAUCAUAAUAUCACAUAUAUGCCCAAAAUUACUAAACCCAACUCAAGCCUGUCAACAAGAAGUUAGUAUCUUAAGUAAGCUUAAAGCAUAGCCAGGAGAGCUAUGGAGUUGGAUUUAAUCAAAGAAGCCUUUACCAUAGACAUAAAAAGAGAUAACCAAAGUAAGAGUAUGGUGAAUAGUAAAAGUUGUAGAGAAUAUGUAUCAAGAAAAGAGAAUUAGGACAUAAAUGGUUCCAUUAUUUGAAAACUAGGUUUACAAUCAUACACCUCAAAAUAUUUUAAACUGAGCUAACAUACAAGUCUUAAAACAUUUUCAAAUGAGAAACUCGACUCAAAAUCAUAUCAACAUAUUGUCAGAAUAACAUGAAGCAUCCACUCAUCUGCGAUACACAAUAAUUAUUAUUUAAAACCUCAUUGAGCAAUCACAUACAUUUCACGAAAAGUAGUCAUAUCAUUAUGCACUUGCAAGCACCAGGGCUGAAUCCUUACAGUUUAUUGUGACGUCUCGAGUGCAAUCUAACUCUUGUUCGAAUGUCAAACAUAUAGAGAACUUUGGUCCAUUGUGGAUCUUGUUCGAACCAUUCAAAUACUUUGAUAAUUCUUUAGCAAAAUCUAUUUUAGUAUGUUUUAAACUCGCAUCAUUGUGUUCGAGACCGACAACCAAUAUGCUACUUGAUGUAUUUGACAUGUGAAUUGAUGAUGCAUGAGUGAACACGUGCGACUCGGUACAUAUGCAGACUACUGAAAGACCAUUAGACACAAGGCUCAAGUUCAAAACUUAGAGAAAAUGACAACGCCAUUUAAAAAACAGUUUCAAUCAUCUUUUCAAUGCUUACAAUAUGUUCAAAGCAAUAUAGAUACAUACUUUAUUUAUAGGUUCAUUUCAAACUCUAAUGGACCAUAAUUCUCUAAAUAUCGGACUUAUCAA